RNAcentral lists this ribosomal RNA (122 nucleotides) under Pteropus vampyrus (large flying fox). Lineage: Eukaryota; Metazoa; Chordata; Mammalia; Chiroptera; Pteropodidae. The record is from RNAcentral.
GCUGAUAAAUUGUCUAUGGCCGUGAACAAGCCCGAUUCCGUCUGAUCUCGGAAGCUAAGCAGGGUCGGGCCUGGUUAGUACUUGGAUGGGAGACCACCUAGGAAGACUAGGUGCUAUUAGCG